UACGUAGGGCGCAAGCGUUGUCCGGAUUUACUGGGCGUAAAGAGCUCGUAGGCGGCUGGCCAAGUCCGAUGUGAAAUCUCCCGGCUUAACCGGGAAACUGCAUCGGAAACUGGUCGGCUUGAAGGUGGGAGAGGGUAGCGGAAUUCCCGGUGUAGUGGUGAAAUGCGUAGAUAUCGGGAGGAACACCAGUGGCGAAGGCGGCUACCUGGCCCAUUCUUGACGCUGAGGCGCGAAAGCUAGGGGAGCGAACGGG
RNAcentral lists this ribosomal RNA (253 nucleotides) under uncultured bacterium. RNAcentral's name for it is "partial 16S ribosomal RNA". It matches the Rfam family "Bacterial small subunit ribosomal RNA", at positions 524 to 776 of the family's 1533-position model. The record is from RNAcentral.